UACGGGGGGGGCAAGCGUUGUUCGGAAUUACUGGGCGUAAAGGGCUCGUAGGCGGCCAACUAAGUCAGACGUGAAAUCCCUCGGCUUAACCGGGGAACUGCGUCUGAUACUGGAUGGCUUGAGUAUGGGAGAGGGAUGUAGAAUUCCAGGUGUAGCGGUGAAAUGCGUAGAUAUCUGGAGGAAUACCGGUGGCGAAGGCGGCAUCCUGGACCAUAACUGACGCUGAGGCGCGAAAGCUAGGGGAGCAAACGGG
RNAcentral lists this ribosomal RNA (253 nucleotides) under uncultured bacterium. RNAcentral's name for it is "partial 16S ribosomal RNA". It matches the Rfam family "Bacterial small subunit ribosomal RNA", at positions 524 to 776 of the family's 1533-position model. The record is from RNAcentral.